RNAcentral lists this unclassified non-coding RNA (240 nucleotides) under Basidiomycota sp. RNAcentral's name for it is "partial contains small subunit ribosomal RNA, internal transcribed spacer 1, and 5.8S ribosomal RNA". The stretch from base 1 to 47 matches the Rfam family "Eukaryotic small subunit ribosomal RNA", at positions 1785 to 1831 of the family's 1831-position model. The record is from RNAcentral. Lineage: Eukaryota; Fungi; Basidiomycota.
AAAGUCGUAACAAGGUUUCCGUAGGUGAACCUGCGGAAGGAUCAUUAACAAAUUCUAAACAACUGUGUUUCUUUAGCCCUACUGCUACUAAUUUGAUAGUCCCUCUACAUAACCUGCGGGGGGCCUAUUGGAUUACUGUGGAGGUUAAAGAAGUCACAUAAACAUACACUUUGAUUGACAACACCUAGUGAUCUAGAUAUUAAUUGUAGACAACUUUUAACAAUGGAUCUCUUGGCUCUU